Molecule: ribosomal RNA, 496 nt
Filed under: uncultured bacterium
Lineage: Bacteria
Description: partial 16S ribosomal RNA
Rfam family: Bacterial small subunit ribosomal RNA
Source: RNAcentral
GAUGAACGCUAGCGGCAGGCCUAACACAUGCAAGUCGAGGGGUAGAGGAAGCUUGCUUCCUUGAGACCGGCGCACGGGUGCGUAACGCGUAUGCAAUCUACCUUUUACAGAGGGAUAGCCCAGAGAAAUUUGGAUUAAUACCUCAUAGUAUUUUCGAAUGGCAUCAUUUGAUUAUUAAAGUUCCAACGGUAAAAGAUGAGCAUGCGUCCUAUUAGCGAGAGGGUAAGGUAACGGCUUACCAUGGCAACGAUAGGUAGGGGUCCUGAGAGGGAGAUCCCCCACACUGGUACUGAGACACGGACCAGACUCCUACGGGAGGCAGCAGUGAGGAAUAUUGGACAAUGGGCGCAAGCCUGAUCCAGCCAUGCCGCGUGCAGGAAGACGCAUCUAUGGUGUGUAAACUGCUUUUGUACGGGAAGAAACACUCCCUCGUGAGGGAGCUUGACGGUACCGUAAGAAUAAGGAUCGGCUAACUCCGUGCCAGCCGCCGCAGUAA